AACGAACGCUGGCGGCAGGCCUAACACAUGCAAGUCGAGCGCCCCGCAAGGGGAGCGGCGGACGGGUGAGUAACGCGUGGGAAUAUGCCCUUUGCUACGGAAUAGUCUCGGGAAACUGGGGGUAAUACCGUAUACGCCCUUUGGGGGAAAGAUUUAUCGGCGAAGGAUUAGCCCGCGUUGGAUUAGGUAGUUGGUGGGGUAAUGGCCUACCAAGCCGACGAUCCAUAGCUGGUUUGAGAGGAUGAUCAGCCACACUGGGACUGAGACACGGCCCAGACUCCUACGGGAGGCAGCAGUGGGGAAUCUUAGACAAUGGGGGCAACCCUGAUCUAGCCAUGCCGCGUGAGUGAUGAAGGCCUUAGGGUUGUAAAGCUCUUUCAGCUGGGAAGAUAAUGACGGUACCAGCAGAAGAAGUCCCGGCUAACUCCGUG
Molecule: ribosomal RNA, 431 nt
Filed under: uncultured bacterium
Lineage: Bacteria
Description: partial 16S ribosomal RNA
Rfam family: Bacterial small subunit ribosomal RNA
Source: RNAcentral